UGAGGAAUAUUGCACAAUGGGCGCCAGCCUGAUGCAGCAACGCCGCGUGAGGGACGAAGGCCUUCGGGUCGUAAACCUCUUUUCUGGGGGAAGAGACAGGACGGUACCUCGGGAAUAAGUCUCGGCUAACUACGUGCCAGCAGCCGCGGUAAAACGUAGGAGGCGAGCGUUAUCCGGAUUUACUGGGCGUAAAGCGCACGCAGGCGGUGGGGUAAGUCGGAUGUGAAAGCUCCUGGCUUAACUGGGAGAGGUCGUUCGAGACUGCCUGGCUUGAGGUUGGGAGAGGGGUGUGGAAUUCCCGGUGUAGUGGUGGAAUGCGUAGAGAUCGGGAGGAACACCAGUGGCGAAGGCGGCACCCUGGCCCACACCUGACGCUGAGGUGCGAAAGCGUGGGGAGCAAACAGG
Molecule: ribosomal RNA, 405 nt
Filed under: uncultured prokaryote
Also listed under: 1 other name
Description: bacterial SSU rRNA
Rfam family: Bacterial small subunit ribosomal RNA
Source: RNAcentral